CGGUGGAGCAUGUGGUUUAAUUCGAAGCAACGCGAAGAACCUUACCAGGUCUUGACAUCCCGAUGCUAUUUCUAGAGAUAGAAAGUUACUUCGGUACAUCGGUGACAGGUGGUGCAUGGUUGUCGUCAGCUCGUGUCGUGAGAUGUUGGGUUAAGUCCCGCAACGAGCGCAACCCCUAUUGUUAGUUGCCAUCAUUCAGUUGGGCACUCUAGCGAGACUGCCGGUAAUAAACCGGAGGAAGGUGGGAUGACGUCAAAUCAUCAUGCCCCUUAUGACCUGGGCUACACACGUGCUACAAUGGUUGGUACAACGAGUUGCGAGUCGGUGACGGCGAGCUAAUCUCUUAAAGCCAAUCUCAGUUCGGAUUGUAGGCUGCAACUCGCCUACAUGAAGUCGGAAUCGCUAGUAAUCGCGGAUCAGCACGCCGCGGUGAAUACGUUCCCGGGCCUU
This 450-nucleotide ribosomal RNA is filed under the name uncultured Streptococcus sp. Its description in RNAcentral is "bacterial SSU rRNA". It matches the Rfam family "Bacterial small subunit ribosomal RNA", at positions 930 to 1382 of the family's 1533-position model. Lineage: Bacteria; Bacillati; Bacillota; Bacilli; Lactobacillales; Streptococcaceae. The record is from RNAcentral.